Nerophis ophidion (straightnose pipefish) is the source of this 395-nucleotide long non-coding RNA. RefSeq lists it as uncharacterized. The record is from RefSeq and is a predicted model, not a curated record. Lineage: Eukaryota; Metazoa; Chordata; Actinopteri; Syngnathiformes; Syngnathidae. The transcript is spliced from 3 exons.
ACAAAACUGCCAUCCGUCUGUUCAAAGGACGAAGAGUGCACCCUUUUAGGUUUCAUUUCCCCAGAAGGAUCCUCCCACAGCCGGUCUCCAGUACAUAUAAAGUCCAAGUCCACCACGCAGGCUGGAAGAGAACCGGACUAAGGCUUCAAACAUGGAUUCCAAGAACUCCAAGAAUACCAACCUGGGAAAAGCUGGCUUCACCCCAGCCGGGGUAGGAAAAGGAUCCCUCGCCGCAGGCAUGAUGUCCUUAGAAGCCAAAACCAACAGCGGGGGGCCGACAGCGAAGGGCCCGGUGGCUCACCUUCAGUCUGCAGGCGCCACCGGUCAUUGCAGAGACAAACAGACCAAGAAAUGAGCGAAAGAUAAAACCAUGAAAUAAAAAUUGGUCUAUGAAA